CCCUUUAUUUUAAAUUGUAAACUUGUUAUCUCUAACUGCAAAUAUUUCAAAAACCAUAUAAUCCGUUUUCUUAAUAUCUGGCUAGCAACACUCAGUUAAGUUCUGCUAUGAAACGAUAUCGGGAAUACUUAGAGAUGUAGGAAGAGUAUCGAGUGUAUACACGUAACGUUUUUUCUCUAGCGUAAUAUUUGUCUUGUUUACUGGUGUUGAUAUUUCUACAAUGAUUGAAAUUAUUCUAUUUACUGGUUUGUGAUGCUGGAAAUUUUGGCGAAACGUUUAGAGGGUUCCUAGUGGUUAUCUAUUAAAUUAUGUGCAGUGAAGUUAAAAUGCAUUUGUGUAUUUGGCAGAAACUUUAACUUAAUGUCUUGACAAAACAUGUUGGAAAUGGAUACAGUAAUUAGAGAUGAAGAUUCCGAUUACAAUAUGGCAACAUCAGCAUCCAAUAACAGUUCUGCUGUAUCCACGAUUUUACAGAUAUGUCAAUCAAGCUGCACUGAUUACGUAGGAGUUCUGCCUCCACCGCACAUCGACAUGGUAAGCGUGAAUAGUGUUGAACUAAAUGCUCAAACAUCGUUAAGUGAUGACUCUGGCGUUCCACUUACAACUAACAGUUCAAUAUCUAGUGGAGAUUCAUAUCGAUUGGGAUUAUAUAAACAUGACAUUGAUAUUGUGGAAAGUGAUGGUGAAGUCUCUCAGUUUGAUUCUUUAGAUAAUUGUUCAGAAGCUGGCAUGAGUGCGGAAAAUUUUAAUACAUUAAAAAAAGGACCUUUAGCACCAAUAGAUCCUCCACUAGAGUUUCAGGACUCACCAAAUAUAACAAUUGGCCGAUGUAUUAUGCAAAAACUAAGGCGGUUUUCUUCUUCACACUCUUCUUUGGAACAUUCAAAAGACUCUGAGCAUAAUGAUAAUAGUAUUAACGUGGACAGAAUUUUUUGUAAAGACUCAGAUGUAGAAGUCUCACCCCAAUAUUUUGCAAAAUCACACAAAGAAGUUUACCUCAUAAAGAAACCAAUAUACUCAAGCGAUUCCAUUCUAAGUAAUAAAGUAGAAAAUGUGUACGACGAGCCAAGUAACCUGAUAUGUAAUUUCGCUUUUAAUAAUGCUGAAACAUUUGAGUCAAAUACGUCUUCAAAUGCAAUGUUGUUGCCACAAACUUCGCAUCCCCCAGAAAGAGUAAUAAGGGACAUCUGUCCUUUUUAUCAAGAUCACUCUAUGUAUUUUAAGGCAAUACCGUCAGAUCAAGAUAGUGGUAUAAGUGCUGUUAAGAAGUUCAAUACAUUUGGGCGCUCAGAAAUCCAUGAUUAUGAUCUCUAUUAUGGAAUUAAACGAAAUACCUUUCAAGGAGAAAAUGGUUUACAAAGAAAGGUCCUGUACAGUCCUCGUAAAGUUACAAAUUAUUGUCAUAGCCAUCAUAUAUAUACAGGUUCAAAUGGGUGCAACAAUCGACCGAAUUCUCGUAAUUCUUUGAACAGUCGUCUCUCUAGUUCACAUAAUUCAUUAAGCACUUCAACUGCAAAUAAACCGGACGAUUCGAUAUUCAUUACUCAAGCAAUGUCCCACGAUGCAUUACUUACUCGGGAAAUAUCUGAUUUUUAUAACGUGCCCAUAGAUUCAGAUAUAUACGCUCUACCAAUAGAUAUGAUAAAAACGGAUAAAAUUAGCAGAGUUGAGUACAAAGAAGAUAAGCUAACGGAUUAUAGAAAAAUAAAUAAUUUAAUUUUCACCGAGGAAGACUAUUGUAAGCAUUCUAAACUAAGUCGUAAAAAUAAUAGAAACAAACGUAAAAAACGCAACAGUGAUACUUACGAAAAUGAUAUAAGAUAUGAUAAUUACAAGUUCACUUCAAAUGCUUACAAAUUAAAAAAUAAAAAGGCAGCUUUUUUGAAUGAAAAUGAGGAUUAUGGCACGCAUAGAUUAUCCAAUACUCAACUAGAUUUGAAUCCAUCUCAAGAACGACUCCACAUGACUUUGAGUGAAGUAAAAAAAUAUUAUCAAACUAUUUAUACUAGAACAAAAAACCGGACCAAUAUUAAUAAUGAAGCUGAUAAAACUGCUUUCAAAAAACAGUCCGAAUACACGAAAGGUAAUGAUUCAUCCCCACGUUCUAGACUUAACCUUUGCUCUAUCGGAGAAAAUGUUUCUACAGAAUGUAAAGUAACCACGAGAACUUUCAAAAGCUAUAACGAAAAUAAUGAUAAAAUCAACAAUAACAGCAUAAAUAACAUCGUGCUGGCCAAUAAUUAUAGUAUUACCGAAAACCAAAUUAUAAAAGUUGAUGAUGUGGAUUUAUCUUCUCAAGUCAUACGAAGCGAGAAGAAAACACAAUUUUCACUAAAUUUAAAACAAAAGUUUUGUAAUAUAUUUCGUAUUCGACGUACACAACCACAAUGUCAAACAAACCAGUCCGGUAUUGAAGAAAAUAAUAGUAUUCGCGAACGAAGAAGCACUGCAGAAAAACAGAAAAAAUUUCAAUCUAGAGCAUUGCCUCCAUUACCCAAGAAGACCGAGUCUUAUAUAGAGCAAUGCAGAGGAAACUCCACCAAAAAAGAGGAAGCAAGGUCUCUUCAAUUUACUUCUAGCAUUGAGAAAGUUAAGAAUUAUGGAUGGUACUGGGGUCCAUUAUCAAGUGAGGCAGCGGAGAAAGUCCUUUCAACGGAAUCAGAUGGAAGCUUCAUUGUACGUGACAGCUCUGACGAUCAUUACAUUUUUUCCCUAAGUUUUAAACUAAAUAAUAGUGUUCGUCAUGUUCGAAUAGAACAGGAUCAAGGUAAUUGUUUGCACUGAAAUUAAUUUUUUUUUAGUUUAAACUAAAGAACUACAAAAGCGAAUACAUAAACUAAGUUAAUUUUUUUUAAAUUUUUUUCUCGAUUAACAUGAUUUCACGUUUAAAUAAAUAUUGCAAACAGUGAAAAUUAUCGGAACAGUUUCUUAGGUUUAACAUCGCAACAUAGAGUUGCUAAUAUAGCUGCAACGAGAGCUACAAACGAAUUUGCCGACAAAAAAUACUUUUUGAAUAACUUUCAUGUUGUGGAUCCAAUAGCGAUAAAAUUUGCAACACUCAUGUAAACCAGGGCAUAUAUACUGUGUGUGAAAUUUCGUUGGGGCAGAAAGGGGGCGUGGCAAUACCAUAACAUAAAUUUGAUCCUUGAGAUGUGUUCUAAAGGAACCUGCAACAAAGUUAGCAAAAACCUUCAUACGAAACCUGUUAUCUAAAAAUUAGUCUUAUUUUGGGCAAAAAAAUACAAAAUACAAUUAAUGAUUAGUUCUUUGUUCAAUAAUAAUAAUUAUUCAUGAUUUAUUAAAAAAAUUAAUCAAAAUUAUCCAUUAUCGGUGAAGAAAAUAAUAAAUAUCAGAAAUUGAAAAAUCAUCAUGGAUCUUUGCAUCAUCGAAAAAAGAUUAACAUGACGUUACCUGUUUUUUUUUUGGUAUGUCGAUUCUAAGUAUUUGAUUCAUUUAAAAAUCGCAACAUUAAUCAUUAUUUACGGUCCCUGAAAAUAAAACAUAAUAAAAUGGAAAACAAUAACGUUCAUUGAAGUUUAAAUUACUUUAAAUACAAUAUAUUCAAUUAAUUUCUACGUUUGCUCUGAAAUUCGUAGAUUCCUGUGCGUUAAAUGCUACAGUUUUUCAAUUUGAUUAAAUUUAAGGGAUAUGAAAAUUUUUUUUAUAUCAACUUAAAAAAUGCAGCGUUUAGGCACAGUUAGUACAAUUAUUAAUAUACAUAAGCUGACACAUCAACAGGCAAUGUAAACUCUUAAAAAAUAUAUCACAACAAACAAGUAUUGGAAAAUGUAGAGAAAGUAUUUAAAGAGCGACGAUUUUUUUUCAUCAAUUUUGAUAAUUUAUUUGCUUAGAAACAUUUAUAAAUAAAUAAAAAGUAUAGUAUUAAUAUUUUCCUAAAGUUAUUCAAUGUAUACAAACUCGAAAAAUUGCAUAACAAUGUAGGCAACUGCUCAUUAGCAGAUCAAUAUUUCCUAACAGCAAUUAUUCUCGCACUGUAAUAAAUAGCAGUGCUAAAUAGUUUUGUUUAUUUUGCGAACAUGAGUCAUAUGAUUUGAGUCCGCUAAACAGCUUUUUGUCAGCUGAUAAUCUUGCUACGUCUAACCAGUUGGAAUAACUUAUUCAGCGGGUUAAUGCCGACAAUGCUGGAAAAAAUUCUACAAAAUUGGAACAAAAACAGUGUUUUAUAUAACAAAUCAUAAGUGCCCGAAAUUAUUUUCAAACACUGUAUUAAUAAGCAAUUAAAUUAAAUUUGUGCUUCGAAUUCGUGAGAAGUAUGCAGUCCCUUUUAGAUUGCUUUCAAUUUAUCUUCUCAAGUUUUAAGCAUAUUUGCUAUUUGCUAAUAAAUCUAUUUUGCUAUUACUGAUGUGCUUUUUUUAUAUUUUUCGGCAAGAAAAAACAAAUUUUACUAAUUUAUUAUAUUAUUAUUUUUAUUUGCUCCAAAUAUAUUGCCCAAAUUAUUUUAAUUUUAUUUACCUGUUUGUUUGGCACACCAAAAACCAAUUGGUAUAGAUAUUACUAUGUCAGAAGAUCAUAAUGACUUUUACCCAUGGCAGCUAUAACUUGGUUGAACCUUAAUAAAACUUUGCACAUGUGUUGCUGGGAUCGCAAAUGGCCGAAGUCGGGCUCUGGGCACGCUCAUAAAAUGCCAUUAAGCUAAACAUUUGACUGCCAUAAACAAAACUCCAAUUAUGUAUAAGGCAUAACAGCAAGGAAUGGCAGCUUUUAUACAAAGUUUUGGAAAAAUAUUCAUGUACAUUAACGUUGGGCACCAAUUUUGUAUAAGGCAUCGCAGUAGGGAAGGGCAGCUUUUUAUACAAAAUUUUGGAAAAGUAUUCGUGUACAUUAACGUUGGUCACCACUAGAUGAAAAACAUUUCGCAGUUGUCUGCUUCCUGUCAUGGUAUUGACAACUAAAUAAAAAUAAUCAGACAACGUGAAAUUAAAAUUUAUAGUUAUUUCUGCCAAAUUCGGGACGUUUUCAUUUGGCUCAUAUGCAAAAUUCAAAUCGCAGACUAUCACAGAAUUCAUCGAAAAGGCAGUCGAGCAUUCAAGAAGUGGAAGGUACUUAUUUUUCCUUCAUAGAAGACCAGAGCAUGGCCCAAUGAGAGUGCAGCUAACAAACCCAGUUUCAAGAUUUAAGCACGUCCAAAGUUUGCAGCAUAUGUGCAGAUUUGUGAUCUUAAAAACUGUUAUACGUAAAGACUUGAUACAAACGCUGCCGUUACCGCGAAGGCUUUUAGACUAUCUUAAUUAUAGGCAUUAUUUCUCUGAACAAAUUGAAAUAGAUAGUUCACACGUUCAGGUAAAUAUUUAAUCACAGGCAAUGAAGAUCCAAAUGCCUCAAACCCUAGCAAGAAUAUUAGGAAGACCGCGAAACAAGUAGAGAAAACUCUUCAAACAAACGUCGUCGAAGUAUUUUUGAAAAAAAAAACAUUAACUGAAAUAAAGUAAUAAUAUUAAAAAUAAAACUAAUAAUAUUUUAAACGUCAACUACAUCUUGUUAAUUUGCUUCGGUCAAGUUUAUUUCCUUUUAUGAACCAAAGGCUGCUUCUUAAUUUAUUUCCUUUCCCUGUUUCAUGCUACUCAGAAAUAGUUUAAAAGACACUAUGGUAGAUACUUUAUACAGUGUACAACAUCAAAUAAUAAUAUCCUAAUAUUAAGGGUCGAGCACGCGUUACUGUUGUAUAUAUCAAAUUAUAUUUAUUUAUUAGUUAGUUAGUAGUUAAAAUAAAAAUUUUAUUUACGAAUAAAGGCGAAAACGUUAUAGCAGGUAUAAACACAA
Bactrocera oleae (olive fruit fly) is the source of this 5781-nucleotide non-coding RNA. The record is from RefSeq and is a predicted model, not a curated record. NCBI's taxonomy places the organism in Eukaryota, Metazoa, Arthropoda, Insecta, Diptera, Tephritidae.